UGUAUUCAUAGUAUGAGGGGAGUUUUCAUUCAUAUUUAAUAAUUUUGUACAUUCAUCAGUUUUUCUUAAAGCAAUAUAUUUGAACCGUGGUCCAACAUACAAUGUGUUUUGCUUCAGAAAAUCAGCUCCAAUAAUGCCUGGAACACAUAAGUUCUUAAUAAUAUAAAACUUAAUAUUAUAAUGAGAGUUUCCUAUUUUAAGUUUAACUAACGUUGAUCCAAUCGAUCGUGUUUGGGAAUUAGCAAAUCCCCGAAGUAUCUCCUUAUCAUUAUAGUUGAUGUGUUCUACUCCGAUUCUAACAGCAGUAUCCCACCUUAAUAAGUUGAAGCAUGACCCAGAAUCAAGUAAAUAUUUUAUCACUGUUUUCGGCUUUGCAACAGAUGCAAUAUUUAGUAAAAAUAAAUUGUUGCCUGAAUGUUCGAUGUACAAUCUUUCAUGGGCCGGCAUACAAUUUUUAAUUCCAUUUACAAUGCUUACUGGUAGUUCUUGAAAACUAUUCUUCUCAAAAUUUGCAUUCCGAAAUAAAUUCUGUUUUCCAUUGAUGUUAUAAGUUUGGUUGCGCUCUCUGUAAUAAUUUGUGCGGGGUGUUCGCACAACAUGUACGAACCCCCUGGAAUCACGUUUUUUGAGAAUGUUAUCUUAUUAUGCGGACUUUGAACAUAGCCAUUAGAAUACCUGUUAUUUCGCAAACGGAGGUUUUGUACUGGUAGAAAUUUAUUUUGGUUGUCAUUGAUUUUGUUAUUUUUCUCCGUUUCUAACAACUCUAAAGUUGUUACUCUUGCAAAGAUUUCAUCGAUUUCAUUUCCAUCAUCGAUCUCUUUUUUAAGCCAAGUUAGUAAUUCUGGAAGUGUUUUUUCUCUUUGCGAUUUUCCAGCAUGAGCUAAACUUCGAUCGCGUAAUCCUCCCAAGAAAUGUUUGCGUAACGAAUUCGUCGCAUAUCUUCCCUGGUUAGCUACCCACUUGUGUAAAUCUUCUACUCUGAUGCUGUAAUCAUCGAACGAUUCAUUUUCCUUUUGUAGUAAGGUUUCAAUUUCCUUCAUAAGAGUGGCGGCACUCUUUUCGAAUUUAAACUCAUCCUCUAGAUUGCGUUUUACUUCGGGCCAAGUAUUUGCGUCAAUUUUUGAAAGCAACUUUAGCGCUUUGCCUGUUAAUUUCAAAUAAACCACAUUCAGAAGCGGAGUAUGAUCUUCUCCUUCCAACUGUUCUGCAAACAACUCAAUUUGUCUAAUAAAAACAUCCAAUUCAUCUGGAUUCCCAUCAAAUUGUGGAAUACAUUGAAGGGCUGUUAUCUGCGAAAACGCUGCCAUUUUUUUAUUUUCAAAUUAUCAGUACCGUAAAAAAAAUGUAUUCUUGAAUAGACAAUGAUUUUUGAUGGCUGAAUUCACUGAGUUUUUCACUCAGUACUUCAAAGACUCACCUUCAUAUGUAGAAUUUUGUAAAAACCCAUGUUUUGAUAUUUAAUAAAUCUGAUAUGUUCCACACUGCUUCUUCCAUCAUGUUCAUACUCCUAAGAUUUCAAUCUGUGACUAAUAUUUUAGAUUCGAUGUGUUUUUCAGGGCACUAUCACCCCAAAAUGAAAAUGUGAUUCUCGCUCAUAUGCAAAAUUGUUGGUCACCCAAACAUUUAAAAUUAUCGGAUCCUCCAGUUGCAAUUGAUAAUUGAUACCCCAUUACUUGUUUUUUAAAAAAAAAUUGAACUGAGAAAAAUUCGGUUUCAUGGAAAAAUAAUGAGGAAAUUCGCUGAAAAACUAUCAAAGUUACCCGUUUUACGGUACAACAAAAAAUCAGAUGAAAUAACUGUUGGUCAGAAACUAUUGACUAUAAAAAAACAUAUUCAGCUAUACAUUUUGUAUUGUGUAGAAUUGCCAUUAUUCGCACAUUUUGAAACCCUGCUUUAAUUUUAUUGCCUUCUCUCCACCGUUCCGAUAACUUUCAAUCGCGAGCGAGCGGCGUCCAAACUGCCCUUUCAGCAAAAUGAUGUGUGCUGUGCUUUCUGUCCGGCAGUACCAUCUAGUGUUAGUAGUGUGUGAAUGAUAUGCGACGUGGUGGAGUAGCCACCCACGUAAAGAGAAGUAUCAUUCUAUACAUAAAAUUUAUUUGAAUUAUAAUUGAUUGUUUGUUUUAGGUUGAUGCUUUUAAUGUAGGAGUUUAACCACUUGCAGUCCUGCAUAGAGGAAUAAAAUAAGGCUACGACCCAGCGAGAGAUGAACUUCUGCCACGCCCACGCUGCUAUUUUCCAACACUUCGGUAUCUGAAUGAGCCCGCGCAGAUGCAACGGUAUGAUAUGGACGAGCUUUGCAUCAUCACUUUCUCCCUUUCCACCGCAUUGACCAGCAUUCCGAGAUGGCUGGCAAAUAAACUACAUAUGUAAAAGACUACCUGCAUAGACCUGUGCGCCGACUUUAUUUUGCUCGGCGGCGGCGUGAGGGCCAUUUUUGGCCGGCGGCGGCGGUGUCAUCGGCGUCACGCCGGUGGCAGCUUUCGGCGGCGGCGGCGGUGGCGGCGUGAAUCGGCGUGACCAAAAUUUGACCGUAAUGUCAACAUUGGCGAAACGAAGAAGUUGUCUUUACGCUGUAGAA
Molecule: long non-coding RNA, 2578 nt
Organism: Aedes albopictus (Asian tiger mosquito)
Lineage: Eukaryota; Metazoa; Arthropoda; Insecta; Diptera; Culicidae
Exons: 2
Source: RefSeq, a predicted model, not a curated record